GCCAAUGUAGCUCAGCUGGUAGAGCAGCUCAUUCGUAAUGAGCAGGUCGUCCGUUCGAAUCGGAUCAUUGGCUCCA
RNAcentral lists this transfer RNA (76 nucleotides) under Verrucomicrobiota bacterium. RNAcentral describes it as "tRNA-Thr". It matches the Rfam family "tRNA". From Rfam's summary of the family: Transfer RNA (tRNA) molecules are approximately 80 nucleotides in length. Their secondary structure includes four short double-helical elements and three loops (D, anti-codon, and T loops). Further hydrogen bonds mediate the characteristic L-shaped molecular structure. tRNAs have two regions of fundamental functional importance: the anti-codon, which is responsible for specific mRNA codon recognition, and the 3' end, to which the tRNAs corresponding amino acid is attached (by aminoacyl-tRNA synthetases). tRNAs cope with the degeneracy of the genetic code in two manners: having more than one tRNA (with a specific anti-codon) for a particular amino acid; and 'wobble' base-pairing, i.e. permitting non-standard base-pairing at the 3rd anti-codon position. The record is from RNAcentral. Lineage: Bacteria; Pseudomonadati; Verrucomicrobiota. RNAcentral also lists the same sequence under 3 other names.